GAUGAACGCUGGCGGCGUGCCUAACACAUGCAAGUCGAGCGAAAGCACGGGAAGCUUGCGCCCCCGAGGGUGGCGGGGGACGGGUGAGUAACACGUGGAUAGCAUACCUCUAAGACGGGGGUGAUAACGGGGGACAAGAUCUACUACCGGAUAAUAUUUCGAACCGGAUGGUGCAAAAGUGAAAGACGCUCUUGCUGACACUAAUAGAUGAAUCCGCGCUGGAUUAACUAGUUGGUAAAGUAACGGCUUACCAAGGAAACGAUGCAUAGCCGACCUGAGAGGGUGAUCGGCCACACUGGAACUGAGACACGGUCCAGACUCCUACGGGAGGCAGCAGUCGGGAAUCUUCCGCAAUGGGCGAAAGCCUGACGGAGCAACACCGCGUGAGUGAUGAAGGUCUUCGGAUCGUAAAGCUCUGUUGUUAGGAAAGAACAUAAGCGUAAUUAACUGUGCACAUCUUGACGGUACCUAAAGAGUAAGCACCGGCUAACUACGUG
Molecule: ribosomal RNA, 497 nt
Filed under: uncultured bacterium
Lineage: Bacteria
Description: partial 16S ribosomal RNA
Rfam family: Bacterial small subunit ribosomal RNA
Source: RNAcentral